This 422-nucleotide unclassified non-coding RNA is filed under the name Hevea brasiliensis (rubber tree). The record is from RNAcentral. Lineage: Eukaryota; Viridiplantae; Streptophyta; Magnoliopsida; Malpighiales; Euphorbiaceae.
ACCAUAAGGUUGUGGAGACGUUGAUUUUUAUAAAAAUUACCCCCAAGAAUGAGAUUAAUCAGACACCAGAUUUCAGUACAAUUCAGAUGUUAAGUAUUCAAGCAAAAGCAUCUUGCACAAUCUAAACACCUAAAUUCUUUGUCCUUCAUAGAUGAACAAGAGCUGUAUUUACAAAAAUCAACGUCUCCACAACCUUAUGGUAUUGAUCAAGCACUAAACCACCCAAAACAUCAAGAGAGCCAAAUAGAAGUCAAAACAGCCAGAAAAGAUCCAGAGUGCACAUCAGAAUACAGAAAUGACACACGAUAGAAGUCACAUAAGAGCAUUUGUGUCAAUGCUUGUUGUUAGUUGAAGAUGGAAAUGUGCCACUGGAGAUCAGUGUCUGUCAUACACCUGAUACAAGAUUUCUAACAUGCAACCUC